AGAGGAAUGGAUAAGGAAACCGAGCAGUUGCAUACACAGUGGAACUGUCUCUUACGCAUAACGACGAACAAAGACAUGUGCUCUACGGGAAAAUGGUCCGAUCUCCGACAGAUAGCCUAUGUUAUCUCUCAUUGGUGGUUCCUACAUGCUUACCGCAGUCCACUCAGCAGACACCACACACACAUCGGCGGCGGCAGCUUGAUCCAAAGUAAACUGGGAGGUUAUGUCAGAUCUGCAAGAAGCCGCUGGUUCACCACGGGAAGUUCUUUAGCAAGUGUCUCUCUAUGAAGUCCCACAAGCCAAGAAGGCUGAAGACGCAUUCCCAGCUCAUUAAGUAGAGCACUUGGCUAGCGUGUGCAAAGGCCUGGGUAUGGUUCCCAGCACCAUACAAACCAGCCAUGGUGGGGCACUCCUGUCAUCCAGCAUCAAGAGACGGAGGUGAGAGCAUCAGCCCAGAAGUCCGAAGUGAAUAUGGGCUCCGCCUUCGGUCCACCAUUGCCUGCUCCCAGGUUGACAUUCCCAUCAGUUUCUCUGGGACUAAGAGGAACCCUGUGGCAGAAAUGGCAGGUGCCUACCGGAAAGUACUUCCUGCGCAUCUGGGGCCAACGGGUGCCAAGUCCGCUGUGAGUUCUUAGCGGGGCCUGCCAUGAAUCCUAGGGGACAGCCAGGUGUGACAGGAGCAGUCUACCUUACGUAAGCGCAAAGUGUCGGAGUCGAAUGAAGAGGACAGAGGGGGCCAGAAAGUGGGGGUCCUCCUUUAUCUGCUUCUGUUCCUCUCAUCCCUGGGCCCUGCAUACAUCUGCCUUUUGCCUCCUCUCCCUCCCCAACCUGGAAUCUAUUUUCUGCUCUAUAUGUAUACUUUGCCCCACCUCCACCCCCACAUCAUCACGCCCACCCCUCUUGGCCCUUUAUCUCUCCUCCCCAAGGCGCCCAUGACACGAAAGCAAAGUUUCUUGCUUAAUAUUUGUUUACUUGGGAACAGUGAGUUUUAUGUACACUGAUCUUAAUUAAAUUCCCAGCAAGUUUCUA
Non-coding RNA from Rattus norvegicus (Norway rat), 1029 nucleotides. Lineage: Eukaryota; Metazoa; Chordata; Mammalia; Rodentia; Muridae. The record is from RefSeq and is a predicted model, not a curated record.